RNAcentral lists this ribosomal RNA (575 nucleotides) under uncultured bacterium. Its description in RNAcentral is "partial 16S ribosomal RNA". It matches the Rfam family "Bacterial small subunit ribosomal RNA", at positions 355 to 920 of the family's 1533-position model. The record is from RNAcentral.
UGGGGAAUAUUGGACAAUGGGGGCAACCCUGAUCCAGCCAUGCCGCGUGUGUGAAGAAGGCCUUUUGGUUGUAAAGCACUUUAAGCAGGGAGGAGAGGCUAAUGGUUAAUACCCAUUAGAUUAGACGUUACCUGCAGAAUAAGCACCGGCUAACUCUGUGCCAGCAGCCGCGGUAAUACAGAGGGUGCGAGCGUUAAUCGGAAUUACUGGGCGUAAAGCGAGUGUAGGUGGCUCAUUAAGUCACAUGUGAAAUCCCCGGGCUUAACCUGGGAACUGCAUGUGAUACUGGUGGUGCUAGAAUAUGUGAGAGGGAAGUAGAAUUCCCAGGUGUAGCGGUGAAAUGCGUAGAGAUCUGGAGGAAUACCGAUGGCGAAGGCAGCUUCCUGGCAUAAUAUUGACACUGAGAUUCGAAAGCGUGGGUAGCAAACAGGAUUAGAUACCCUGGUAGUCCACGCCGUAAACGAUGUCUACUAGCCGUUGGGGUCCUUGAGACUUUAGUGGCGCAGUUAACGCGAUAAGUAGACCGCCUGGGGAGUACGGCCGCAAGGUUAAAACUCAAAUGAAUUGACGGGGUC